RNAcentral lists this unclassified non-coding RNA (421 nucleotides) under Hevea brasiliensis (rubber tree). The record is from RNAcentral. Lineage: Eukaryota; Viridiplantae; Streptophyta; Magnoliopsida; Malpighiales; Euphorbiaceae.
UGCAAUCUCUAAUUUUCAAUUUCUCCCUCUCCAUGUCUCUACUCUUCUUUCCAAUACCAAAACAUCAACUUCGGAUCUAAUCCAAUAUUCCCCAUCACCAAUUUCCGUUCCCCAGGCAUCUUCUCUCUUUCUCUCUCUCUGUGUCUAUAGAGCAGUUAUUGCUUUCUGUGGUUGUGUUUUGAGGCUGUGCAUUGAUGAUUUCUUGGGGAUUUUGUAUUGGGAUUGUUGUGUUGUAAAUGGAAUCGUCUUCAAGUCAACCGGAGUUUGACUACUUGUUCAAGUUGUUGCUAACUGGGGAUUCUGGUGUGGGGAAGAGUAGUCUGCUGUUGAGUUUCACUUCCAAGACUUUUGAGGAUCUCUCUCCUACCAUAGGGGUGGAUUUUAAGGUAAAACAUGUUACCAUAGGUGGGAAAAAGUUGAA